This 423-nucleotide ribosomal RNA is filed under the name uncultured Acholeplasma sp. RNAcentral describes it as "bacterial SSU rRNA". It matches the Rfam family "Bacterial small subunit ribosomal RNA", at positions 954 to 1382 of the family's 1533-position model. The record is from RNAcentral. Lineage: Bacteria; Bacillati; Mycoplasmatota; Mollicutes; Acholeplasmatales; Acholeplasmataceae.
AUGAUACGCGAAGAACCUUACCAGGUCUUGACAUCCCUUGCAAAGCUAUGGAGACAUAGUGGAGGUUAUCAAGGAGACAGGUGGUGCAUGGUUGUCGUCAGCUCGUGUCGUGAGAUGUUGGGUUAAGUCCCGCAACGAGCGCAACCCUUAUUGCUAGUUACCAUCAUUCAGUUGGGGACUCUAGCGAGACUGCCAGUGAUAAACUGGAGGAAGGUGGGGAUGACGUCAAAUCAUCAUGCCCCUUAUGACCUGGGCUACAAACGUGAUACAAUGGCUGAAACAAAGGGCAGCGAAGCAGUGAUGUGGAGCGAAACCCAAAAAAGCAGUCUCAGUUCGGAUUGAAGUCUGCAACUCGACUUCAUGAAGUCGGAAUCGCUAGUAAUCGCGGAUCAGAACGCCGCGGUGAAUACGUUCUCGGGGUUU